UACGUAGGGGGCUAGCGUUGUCCGGAAUCAUUGGGCGUAAAGAGCGUGUAGGCGGUCCGGUAAGUCCGCUGUGAAAGUCGGGGGCUCAACCCUCGAAUGCCGGUGGAUACUGUCGGGCUAGAGUGCGGAAGAGGCGAGUGGAAUUCCCGGUGUAGCGGUGAAAUGCGCAGAUAUCGGGAGGAACACCAGUAGCGAAGGCGGCUCGCUGGGCCACACCUGACGCUGAGACGCGAAAGCGUGGGGAGCGAACAGG
RNAcentral lists this ribosomal RNA (253 nucleotides) under uncultured bacterium. Its description in RNAcentral is "partial 16S ribosomal RNA". It matches the Rfam family "Bacterial small subunit ribosomal RNA", at positions 524 to 776 of the family's 1533-position model. The record is from RNAcentral.